Molecule: long non-coding RNA, 820 nt
Organism: Saimiri boliviensis boliviensis (Bolivian squirrel monkey)
Lineage: Eukaryota; Metazoa; Chordata; Mammalia; Primates; Cebidae
Source: RefSeq, a predicted model, not a curated record
CCGCGCCUUGCCCGCAAUCAGUGGUUCUUAACUGCGAGUGCAAUGCUCCUUUGUAACGUUAAAUGUAUCCUUUGCCUGUCACUAGAUAAUGAAUGGUAUGUUACCGCCACUGUUAGUUUAAAACACGACAUAAAGAACCGUGGAACAAUGAAUUAAAAAUUUGUACCCGAUCUCUCUUUAGGUAUGGAGCUAGGUGCAGAUGCAAUGUGGCUCUCGAUAGCGCCUUAUGGAUAGUUGUGUCCCAAAGGAAGGAUGAGAAUAUCUGCUGAAGUCCUAAAGAGCAAGCCUAACGCAAGCUGUUGGUACACAGGCAUUACACAGAAACCUGGAAGUUGAAAUGGUGGAAUCCAACUUGCCUGGACCAGCUUUAUGGGUUCUGCUGGUAACGUUUUUAUCCAUGGAUGGCUUGCUUGGGUGCAGAUGUCGGAGACCUCUUAAAGGUAUGGAGAGUCGGUCUGACUACACUGUGAGGAGCAAUUUGUGGAGCAAGUUCUCAAGAAGCAAAGGACUCGGAAUUCAUGCUUGAAGAAAUGCAGGCAGAUCUGUUUUAAAUGGAGUUUUUCAUCUCGUAACAGGCAGACCUGCUAACUUAAAACUAGAGUUUUUAAUGACCACAGCAAGCAAGCAUGCAGUUUGGCCCUUGAAAGGUGAGGAUUGGAAAUAUUGGGACUAUUGUAAUUGCAGAAUACAUGAUGAUUUCACUCCAACUUGAACUCUCUCACUGAUUACUUGAUGACAAUAAAAUAUCUGAUAUUCUGCAUUCCCCAUGUAGCAUUUUAAUUGAAGUCUGGAAAUGUGGCUAAAAGUUGUCUUUUUAUUU